This is a long non-coding RNA of Amblyraja radiata (thorny skate), 563 nucleotides long. RefSeq lists it as uncharacterized. The record is from RefSeq and is a predicted model, not a curated record. The transcript is spliced from 2 exons. Lineage: Eukaryota; Metazoa; Chordata; Chondrichthyes; Rajiformes; Rajidae.
AAUAAUGCAAUGAUCAACAAUGAUGUGGAUGUGCUCAAACUACCUGGAGGAAUGGUCGAUGAUCUGAAGCCUGGAACUUCCUGCUUAGUGGCAGGAUGGGGAAAAACAAGUAAAUGAUUUCCAUCUGACACACUUCAAGAGGUGACAAUAGAAGUAAUAGAUCGUAAAACAUGCAACAGCGAGGACUAUUACGAUCACAAACCUGAAGUAACCCAGAACAUGAUCUGUGCUGGUGACAGUGAAGGCAGAGGAGAUUCGUGCCAGGGUGAUUCAGGUGGUCCUUUGCUUUGCAAUGGAAAGUACGUCGGGAUUGUGUCCUUUGGCAAAGGAUGUGCAGAUCCCAAAAAGCCUGGAGUUUACACUUUUGUUUCUAAAUACCUUUGUUGGAUUUGGGAAAACAUUGCCAUGCAGGCUUACAAUAUGACCAAUGAAAAGCUGUAUUGAGUCAUCAGCGUGCUACUUCACUUUGCUUUACUAACUAUGAUGCUCAAUCAAUUGGCUUAGAUAACCAGCAUGCUUCCAUCUAUAUCUGAGUACAUUGUGUAACAUUUUACCACAAAAUG